This 26-nucleotide non-coding RNA is filed under the name Homo sapiens (human). Lineage: Eukaryota; Metazoa; Chordata; Mammalia; Primates; Hominidae. The record is from RNAcentral.
UAGGGUGUUCUGUAUACAUCUGCUGC